Molecule: long non-coding RNA, 133 nt
Organism: Sander lucioperca (pikeperch)
Lineage: Eukaryota; Metazoa; Chordata; Actinopteri; Perciformes; Percidae
Exons: 5
Source: RefSeq, a predicted model, not a curated record
GGUCUGUAUCAAAUUAACACAUUUCAAAUUAAAAAAUCGAAUUAUUAUUGUUGUUCUUAUUAUUAUUUAGGGGGGCUUAGGAACAUUUUAGGGUAGCUUCAGCACCCCUACAAUGGGCCUAACGACGUCCCUG